Molecule: ribosomal RNA, 273 nt
Filed under: Bacillus sp. MANJ
Lineage: Bacteria; Bacillati; Bacillota; Bacilli; Caryophanales; Bacillaceae
Description: partial 16S ribosomal RNA
Rfam family: Bacterial small subunit ribosomal RNA
Source: RNAcentral
GGGGGGGGAGCGGUUGCNUCGGAANACUUGGGCGUNAAGGGCUCCGCAGGCGGUUUCUUAAGUCUGAUGUGAAAGCCCCCGGCUCAACCGGGGAGGGUCAUUGGAAACUGGGGAACUUGAGUGCAGAAGAGGAGAGUGGAAUUCCACGUGUAGCGGUGAAAUGCGUAGAGAUGUGGAGGAACACCAGUGGCGAAGGCGACUCUCUGGUCUGUAACUGACGCUGAGGAGCGAAAGCGUGGGGAGCGAACAGGAUUAGAUACCCCAGUAGUCAAA